Molecule: long non-coding RNA, 316 nt
Organism: Acanthaster planci (crown-of-thorns starfish)
Lineage: Eukaryota; Metazoa; Echinodermata; Asteroidea; Valvatida; Acanthasteridae
Source: RefSeq, a predicted model, not a curated record
UUUAUGUUUUUCUAUCAGAAAGUUUUGUCUAAAAUGUUAUGAGUUUUUACAGCUUAAACAGACAGAUUUCACCGGGCCCACAUUACAGAGACAGUUAGAGGAGUUUUGCCAAAGAAGACCUGAUGAAGUGUAUGCAUCAUGGAACAGGCAGUGCAAGAAGCCAAGGAAGCAAAAACAACACACAGGAAUGCCAAGUCAGCACUAACACGCAGUGGGAAGGCCUUACACAUCCCGAUAGAAGACAGACCCUGGCACUGCAUGGUGGAGGUUGAAGGGACUGCAACAAGAUGGUUUGCUCUCUUCAUCAUUUAUAUGC